GAUGAACGCUGGCGGCGUGCCUAAUACAUGCAAGUCGAGCGAACAGACGAGGAGCUUGCUCCUCUGACGUUAGCGGCGGACGGGUGAGUAACACGUGGAUAACCUACCUAUAAGACUGGGAUAACUUCGGGAAACCGGAGCUAAUACCGGAUAAUAUAUUGAACCGCAUGGUUCAAUAGUGAAAGACGGUUUUGCUGUCCCUUAUAGAUGGAUCCGCGCCGCAUUAGCUAGUUGGUAAGGUAACGGCUUACCAAGGCAACGAUGCGUAGCCGACCUGAGAGGGUGAUCGGCCACACUGGAACUGAGACACGGUCCAGACUCCUACGGGAGGCAGCAGUAGGGAAUCUUCCGCAAUGGGCGAAAGCCUGACGGAGCAACGCCGCGUGAGUGAUGAAGGUCUUCGGAUCGUAAAACUCUGUUAUUAGGGAAGAACAAAUGUGUAAGUAACUAUGCACGUCUUGACGGUACCUUAUCAGAAAGCCACGGCUAACUACGUG
RNAcentral lists this ribosomal RNA (497 nucleotides) under uncultured bacterium. RNAcentral's name for it is "partial 16S ribosomal RNA". It matches the Rfam family "Bacterial small subunit ribosomal RNA", at positions 28 to 507 of the family's 1533-position model. The record is from RNAcentral.